Molecule: unclassified non-coding RNA, 1815 nt
Filed under: Pectinophora gossypiella (pink bollworm)
Lineage: Eukaryota; Metazoa; Arthropoda; Insecta; Lepidoptera; Gelechiidae
Description: ankyrin repeat domain-containing protein 13D
Source: RNAcentral
UGUGGAUAGCGUAUCGGUGCAGAUUUUCAUUGUAUUUUCAAAUAAUUCUCUUGGGAAAAGAUUAAAUUGUACUUAUAUAACGGGUUCUUUGUGUGUUAUAGCGUAUUGGUGUGUUAUUGUGUAAGAAUAACAGAUGUUUUGAUGCAAUGGCUAUGACUGCUGAAGAAGUUGCUCGCCGCUUUCCAAUUCACUGGUUGGUGUGGAAUAAUGAGCACGAGGAGUUGAGGAACUGUUUUGAAAAUAACAAGUAUACACCAGAGGAACUUGAGACUAAGGACACUAGAGGCCGCACCCCACUGCUGUUGGCCGUCACAUUAGGUCAUGUUGAAUCGGUGCGUGCUCUAAUAGAUGCUGGUGCAGAUGUUAACUGUGAAAAGGAUGGAUGGACUGCGGUACAAGAAGCCACAGCGACUGGCAACGUGGAGCUACUGUCGCUGGUGUUGUCGACGCGUGACUACCAGCGUCACGUGGUCCGCUCGGGCGGCAUCCCCGACCUGCUGAGGAGGCUCAGCCUCGCGCCGGACUUCUACGUCGAGAUGAAGUGGGAAUUCACCAGUUGGGUGCCGCUAGUAUCACGAAUGUGUCCGUUCGACACGUACAAGGUGUACAAGCGCGGGGGCAACGUCCGCGUGGACACCACACUCGUCGGCUUCGAGAACAAUCGCUGGCAGCGCGGCGACAGGACUUAUAUCUUUAGGGGACAAGGGCGGUCGGCCAGCCUGGUGGAGCUGGACCACGAGCUGGGCACCAUGUGGUGCGAGUACCUGGAGCCGGCGCCGGCCGCGGCCCGCGCGCCGCCCGCGCCGCCGCCGCACGUGCUGGACGCGCGCCUCGCGCAGCCGCUCGCCAUCAACUACCUCGACACCGACAAGAUAUGCUUCGAGAGAAACAAAAGCGGCAUCUGGGGCUGGCGCCAAGACAAGACAGAGAAUGUAAACGGCUACGAGUGCAAAGUCUUCGGGGCUAACAACGUGGAGCUGGUCUCCAUGACGCGCUCCGAACACCUGCCGCGCGGGGAGAGGAGGCCGGAACCCCGCGCACCUCUAGCAGGGCUGCUGGCCAUAGCUGACCGGGAUCACGAUGAUCCACCAACCACACCCACGGAAACACAAGAAGACUCACCUCGCAGCAGUAGAUCCAAAGAAUCCAAAGAAGAGUUAGAGUUAGAACCUGUAACGUGGGAGCAGUACUUCUCGGAGUCCCCACUGGAGCGCGACAUCGGCCGGCCCAAAGAGAUCGCCACCAAGGUGCAGAAGUUCAAGGCUACGCUGUGGCUCUGUGAGGACUACCCCCUAGAGCUACAAGAGCAGAUAAUGCCAAUCCUCGACCUGAUGGCCGCGAUAUCAUCACCACAUUUCGCCAAGCUGAAGGACUUCGUGCAAAUGCAACUGCCCGCCGGAUUCCCUGUCAAAAUUGAAAUCCCUCUCUUCCACGUGCUGAACGCGCGGAUAACGUUUGGCAACAUCUUCGCGACAGACACGCCCGUGCAGCACAUCGAGUGUAUACAGGAGGGAGACCGGCUCUCGUGUGUCGUCGACGAUGCUUGCUUCGCUAUCGGACGAGGUUUCACGCAGGUAUCGCGCGGCCGGCGGCGCGGACGCUCGCGUGUGCGCCGACGACGAAGAAGGUCUGCUCCAGUACGCCAUCCAGCAGAGCCUCAUGGAAGCAGGCACUCACGAUGACCAGGUGGACGUGUGGGAGGCGCUGCGGGGCGCGCGGCCCAGCACGCCGCAGCCGCGCCGCGACCACGAGCCGCAGCUGCUGGCGCACGAGGAGCGCCAGCUGCAGAGAGCGAUAGAGGCGUCUCUCGCCGCG